This is a long non-coding RNA of Rhinopithecus roxellana (golden snub-nosed monkey), 653 nucleotides long. RefSeq annotates it as coiled-coil domain-containing protein 140. The transcript has 2 exons. NCBI's taxonomy places the organism in Eukaryota, Metazoa, Chordata, Mammalia, Primates, Cercopithecidae. The record is from RefSeq and is a predicted model, not a curated record.
AUGGGAGACGAAUGUUCAAACCCACUUCUCCUCGCUAAGCCUGGAAGCUCGCCACAGUAGGAUCAUGGGACCCCGAGGGAAGAGGCUGAGAAUGAGUCCAGCACCCGCGUUCCUCGGGUUUUAAAAGCACAUCUGGGGCCAGAGACUGCAUAGCCAACUAAACGGAGUAAACGCGACAGGUGGAGGAGGCAGAGUUGUCAGGGGCCAAGCCGGGCGCGAUCUGCCCAGAGUCUUGGGGAUCGCGGACCUGGGACUGCAGAGAGGCGUUUUGAAGCUUGCUGCGCGCACCUGCCUCUAGGAGAUAUUCGGCUCCACCCGGGCGUCUCCUGAGGUCUCGCAGUCCACAGACCCCGGGAGGGCUGCCCGCCCUAGAACACGUCCUCUCUCGACCCCUCACUCUUUCAAAACUGGGGAAGAGGCUGAGGGGAUGAAAAAGAAGAAAGAGAGAGAGAAGGAAAGAGAGAAAGAAGGAAAGAAAUUAAGGGACAGCGACAGAAGCCCUGGCAGAGCCCAAGGAUCGGCGAUCUGGGCUCCUGGAGGUACCCUCUAGAUGGAGAAGGAUCAAGAGGCUCUGCGGGAAACGUGCGGGGCUGGGGGCGGGGGUGCCCGCCAAUGUCCGCAGAAGGCAAGGAGAACCAUUCGAGGAGGGGUGA